This 71-nucleotide transfer RNA is filed under the name Pisolithus microcarpus. Its description in RNAcentral is "tRNA-Ser". It matches the Rfam family "tRNA". From Rfam's summary of the family: Transfer RNA (tRNA) molecules are approximately 80 nucleotides in length. Their secondary structure includes four short double-helical elements and three loops (D, anti-codon, and T loops). Further hydrogen bonds mediate the characteristic L-shaped molecular structure. tRNAs have two regions of fundamental functional importance: the anti-codon, which is responsible for specific mRNA codon recognition, and the 3' end, to which the tRNAs corresponding amino acid is attached (by aminoacyl-tRNA synthetases). tRNAs cope with the degeneracy of the genetic code in two manners: having more than one tRNA (with a specific anti-codon) for a particular amino acid; and 'wobble' base-pairing, i.e. permitting non-standard base-pairing at the 3rd anti-codon position. The record is from RNAcentral. Lineage: Eukaryota; Fungi; Basidiomycota; Agaricomycetes; Boletales; Pisolithaceae. RNAcentral also lists the same sequence under 1 other name.
GGUCAGGUAGCCUAGUGUUAAGGCACCCCAGUACUAGUGGGAGGACCCAGGUUCAAUCCCUGGUCUGGCCA